AUGGCUGUUGAAGCCUUGUCCAAAAUGAUUCGCAACGCCCAAGAAGAAGGUCUGCUGACAGGUCUUGCCCCAGACCUGAUUAGUGGGGGGGUAGCUAUUCUUCAAUACGCUGAUGACACUGUCAUCUGUCUUGAGCAUAAUAGAGAAGCUGCAAUUAAUCUCAAGCUUUUACUAUACAUUUUUGAACUCAUGUCUGGGCUUAAAAUAAAUUUCCUAAAGAGUGAAAUACUCUGUGUAGGAGGGGAUGAUAAUCUGUUAACCUUCUACUCUGAUCUGUUUAAUUGUCAGAUAGGGCAUUUUCCUAUGAGAUAUUUGGGAGUGCCUGUAAGCUUUUCCACUCUACGAGCUCUUGACUGGAGCUUUGCGGAUGAUAAAUUCCUUAAAUGUUGUGAGUCAUGGAUUGGUAAUUCGGCUUCCUCAGGGGGAAGAUUGACACUCCUUAAUUCUUCCCUUACAAGUAUCAUUUAUUACUACAUGUCUAUGUUCAUGCUCCCUAAAAAGAUCAUUGAGAAGUUG
This 516-nucleotide ribosomal RNA is filed under the name Triticum aestivum (bread wheat). RNAcentral's name for it is "partial small subunit ribosomal RNA". The record is from RNAcentral. Lineage: Eukaryota; Viridiplantae; Streptophyta; Magnoliopsida; Poales; Poaceae.